Molecule: ribosomal RNA, 465 nt
Filed under: uncultured bacterium
Lineage: Bacteria
Description: partial 16S ribosomal RNA
Rfam family: Bacterial small subunit ribosomal RNA
Source: RNAcentral
CCUACGGGAGGCUGCAGUGGGGAAUAUUGCGCAAUGGGCGAAAGCCUGACGCAGCGACGCCGCGUGCGGGAUGAAGGUCUUCGGAUCGUUAACCUCUGUCAGCAGGGAAGAACGGUCACUGUGCUAAUCAGCAGUGAAUUGACGGUACCUGCAAAGGAAGCCCAGGCUAACUCCGUGCCAGCAGCCGCGGUAAUACGGAGGGGGCGAGCGUUAUCCGGAUUCACUGGGUGUAAAGGGAGCGGAGACGGCCAUGCAAGCCAGGGGUGAAAGCCCGGGGCCCAACCCCGGGACUGCCCUUGGAACUGGAUGGCUGGAGUGCGGGAGGGGCAGGCGGAAUUCCUGGUGUAGCGGUGAAAUGCGUAGAUAUCAGGAGGAACACCGGCGGCGAAGGCGGCCUGCUGGACUGCGACUGACGUUGAGGCUCGAAAGCGUGGGGAGCGAACAGGAUUAGAUACCCUUGUAGUC